GAAUCAGUCCAACAUGAUGAUUAGCAUUCCG
RNAcentral lists this ribosomal RNA (31 nucleotides) under Brassica rapa subsp. pekinensis (Chinese cabbage). RNAcentral's name for it is "partial large subunit ribosomal RNA". The record is from RNAcentral. Lineage: Eukaryota; Viridiplantae; Streptophyta; Magnoliopsida; Brassicales; Brassicaceae.